RNAcentral lists this long non-coding RNA (352 nucleotides) under Gallus gallus (chicken). The record is from RNAcentral. Lineage: Eukaryota; Metazoa; Chordata; Aves; Galliformes; Phasianidae.
GUUGGGAAGAUGCAGGGAUCUCUGUGCAGACAGAGUGUCUUUUGUAUCUCGGGCAGAAUGACUCCUUGGCUCCAAGCCACAGCCAAGCAAAUAGCAGAGCAGAUUCAUUAUGUCCUAGUGCUGCUACCAGGCUGAACAUCUAGGAAUUAAAUGAUAGACAAAGAAUCCUGGGACUCUUGGGCUCCUAUCUCACCAGUGAAAAGUAGGAGAUCAGCUUAUUCCAGCCCCGGGGUAAUGGGAUAGGAUCCAGGAACUGCGCUGAGACUUGAUCAGUCCUGCAGAGCUGUGUUUGAAAGACGUGGAAGACAACAGUUGUGCCAAAAAGGACUCUCCUUCCUCCUGCACCACCAUC